This 403-nucleotide ribosomal RNA is filed under the name uncultured bacterium. RNAcentral describes it as "bacterial SSU rRNA". It matches the Rfam family "Bacterial small subunit ribosomal RNA", at positions 29 to 419 of the family's 1533-position model. The record is from RNAcentral.
AGCGAACGUUAGCGGCGGGCUUAACACAUGCAAGUCGAGCGAGAAAGUGGCUUCGGCCAUCAGUAAAGCGGCGGACGGGUGAGUAACACGUAGGUAAUCUUCCCUUGAGCGGGGGACAACGGUCCGAAAGGACCGCUAAUACCGCAUACGUUUCCAGAGACCCCGGUCUUUGGAAGGAAAGCUAGGCCGCAAGGUCCGGCACUCGAGGAGGAGCCUGCGUCGCAUCAGCUAGUUGGUGGGGUAACGGCCUACCAAGGCGAAGACGCGUAGCUGGUCUGAGAGGAUGAUCAGCCACACUGGGACUGAGACACGGCCCAGACUCCUACGGGAGGCAGCAGUGGGGAAUAUUGGACAAUGGGCGCAAGCCUGAUCCAGCCACGCCGCGUGAGGGAUGACGGCCUGG